GCUAGUAAUGGCAGGUCAGCAUACUGCCGUGAAUACUUCCCGGGCCCUUGUACACACCGCCCGUCACACCAUGAGAGUUGGGGAUACCCGAAGCCUGUGAGCUAACAGUAAUGAAGCAGCAGUCGAAGGUAGAAUCAAUGAUUGGGGUGAAGUCGUAACAAGGUACC
This 167-nucleotide ribosomal RNA is filed under the name uncultured bacterium. Its description in RNAcentral is "partial 16S ribosomal RNA". It matches the Rfam family "Bacterial small subunit ribosomal RNA", at positions 1334 to 1500 of the family's 1533-position model. The record is from RNAcentral.